UACGGAGGAUGCGAGCGUUAUCCGGAUCUAUUGGGUUUAAAGGGUGCGCAGGCGGCGUGUCAAGUCAGCGGUAAAAUGUCGGGGCUCAACCCCGGCCGGCCGUUGAAACUGGCGUGCUCGAGUUGGAGAGAAGUAUGCGGAAUUCGUGGUGUAGCGGUGAAAUGCAUAGAUAUCACGAAGAACCCCGAUUGCGAAGGCAGCAUACCGGCUCCACACUGACGCUGAGGCACGAAAGCGUGGGUAUCGAACAGG
Molecule: ribosomal RNA, 252 nt
Filed under: uncultured bacterium
Lineage: Bacteria
Description: partial 16S ribosomal RNA
Rfam family: Bacterial small subunit ribosomal RNA
Source: RNAcentral